RNAcentral lists this long non-coding RNA (1595 nucleotides) under Lathyrus oleraceus (garden pea). RNAcentral describes it as "Pisum sativum (pea) long non-coding RNA (PSAT_LNC014955)". Lineage: Eukaryota; Viridiplantae; Streptophyta; Magnoliopsida; Fabales; Fabaceae. The record is from RNAcentral.
GCCCAUUUGUAGGGGGUGUAUGGACAUGCCACUGGUCUGCAAGAAGCAAACCAGCUUGGGGCUUGUGAUGGAAAGGCCCGAUGGGAAAAGAUAAAACACAAUGACUCCAUCCUCUUCACGCUCUAUGCAUUCAGUACCGAAGGAACUAUUCUACCUACAUACGCCGAUCCCAGCCGCGACGGAAGCAUCGGCCGCACCGGGUUUUGUUACCGGCGGUGGCGAUUUGAAACAACGACGCCCGCUUCACCUUUGUCACAUCAACCAUAUUUGAAACAAACGUUCACAUAAUCUUACCGGCAACGGCGAAGACGGCGUCGGCGCUCGCGGAAUCCCAACUCUCUCCAAUCUUCUUCCCUGGUUCUGUUACUAGUUGUGACUCGGUUGUUCUGCAAGCUGUGAACCGUUGCGAAAGGGAUCGACGCUUGUUCUGUUGUCACAGUUGGCGUCAAUGGAUUGCGAUGGCGACACUCUCCUCAAGUCCUUCGGUUGCAUUUUGUGUAUUGCAUCGAGCGAGAUUGCAUGGUGAUGUUUAUACGGAUUGAGAACUGCGAAUGAACGAGAGUAUUCAGUGAGGGUGUGAGAAUGCGAGGUUGCGGGCUUUGCACUUGAGAGUGCAGUUUCCGGUUCUGUUGAAUUUCUUUUUGUGAAAUUUUCUGUUGUGAAUGCUUAGAGGAUGAAGGAGUGUGAGGGGAUUCAGGGUGAGUGUGGUGUUGUUAUGGUUUCUUUGAGGAGUUUGGGGAGGUUGAAGUUAUUGCUUGAAGUUGCAGUUCAGAUGCGGUUAGAGAGUUUGUUGUGCAGAGUUCGUCUGCGUUUCAAUGGAAGGAGGAAGAAGACAUCGAGAAGAUGCUUGUGCCUGUUAUUCAGAAAUAGGAAGAAGGUGAAGGGAUGAUGGUGAAGAUUUGUCUCACUGUGAAAGUUGUAGUGUCGAUUAUGAAGAAAAAUGAAAAAAUCUCCGCAAUAAAUCACACUACCAGCUUAUAUACAUUUUCAGUCUGUUAGAUCGGUUAGCUUCCAUUAAAAAUCUUUGUGUAAGUCGGUUAGGAGUUAUAACGAUGUUAGCUGAAGUUUUUUUAGAUUGUUAGAAAGGUUGAAACUUCUGUUAAGAUCUUUGCAGACUUUUUCAUUGAACUUGGUUGUUGCCGUUUGGCUUGCAGCUUUCACGUCGUUUUGGUCGCAACUUGUGGUUUGCCAUUUGGUUGCCGUUUUGCAUCAUGGCCUUGCGUUAUGCUUUGCCGUUUUGCGCUUUGUUAUCGCGUUUCAUGUGCAUACGCCUGCGUUUUGCUUUUCUUUGUGCAGGAUUAUUUAUGCGUUUCAUGUAUUGCACUGCAACUUCAUGUCGUUUUGGGUUUGGUAGCUUGUGUAGCGUGGCAGCUUGUGACGGCGACUUUUCUUGCGUGUAGCAGCUUGUGAGUUUGCUACGUUUGCCGGCGUUUUGGUUUUAAUGGCUUGCAUUUGUUCUGCUUGUUUUCCAUUUAUGUUCAUGCUGCUAUUUGCAUUUACUGUUGUACUGCGUUUUCCUUUUUAUAGCAGCUUUUAUUGCGUUUUGGCUUGCAGCUGGUUUGUACGUUUGGUGCUUUUGGCCUCUUUCAAUUAAU